AUUGAACGCUGGCGGCAGGCCUAACACAUGCAAGUCGAGCGGAUGAAGGGAGCUUGCUCCUGGAUUCAGCGGCGGACGGGCGAGUAAUGCAUAGGAAUAUGCCUGGCAGUGGGGGAUAACGUCCGGAAACGGGCGCUAAUACCGCAUACGUCCUGAGGGAGAAAGUGGGGGAUCUUCGGACCUCACGCUAUCAGAUGAGCCUAGGUGGGAUUAGCUAGUUGGUGGGGUAAAGGCCUACCAAGGCGACGAUCCGUAACUGGUCUGAGAGGAUGAUCAGUCACACUGGAACUGAGACACGGUCCAGACUCCUACGGGAGGCAGCAGUGGGGAAUAUUGGACAAUGGGCGAAAGCCUGAUCCAGCCAUGCCGCGUGUGUGAAGAAGGUCUUCGGAUUGUAAAGCACUUUAAGUUGGGAGGAAGGGCAGUAAGUUAAUACCUCGCUGUUUUGACGUUACCAACAGAAUAAGCACCGGCUAACUUCGUG
This 484-nucleotide ribosomal RNA is filed under the name uncultured bacterium. RNAcentral describes it as "partial 16S ribosomal RNA". It matches the Rfam family "Bacterial small subunit ribosomal RNA", at positions 30 to 507 of the family's 1533-position model. The record is from RNAcentral.